Eupeodes corollae is the source of this 273-nucleotide long non-coding RNA. RefSeq lists it as uncharacterized. The transcript is spliced from 2 exons. The record is from RefSeq and is a predicted model, not a curated record. NCBI's taxonomy places the organism in Eukaryota, Metazoa, Arthropoda, Insecta, Diptera, Syrphidae.
UUUAAUAUAAAUAGAUUGGUUUUUCAGACAGAAAAUUGUCAGUGUCAGUUGCAGUGUCAGCAGAGUUAAUUCAAAGCAUCAAAAUGGCUAAAAUUUUGAUUUAUACAAUUUUCUCGUUUGUUGUCCUUGCUUCUUUGAAUUUAGGUACGGCUAACCCGCUCGGCCCAUUACUUUCCAGAAACUCCCUAAUUAAAACGGUGGAUCCAUUAUGGAAUUGAAUUUCUCAAUUUGACUAACUUAAAAUGUCAAAUAAAAAGUAAUUGAAUCAAGAAA